This is a long non-coding RNA of Lutra lutra (Eurasian river otter), 1497 nucleotides long. RefSeq lists it as uncharacterized. Lineage: Eukaryota; Metazoa; Chordata; Mammalia; Carnivora; Mustelidae. The transcript is spliced from 3 exons. The record is from RefSeq and is a predicted model, not a curated record.
CUCAGGACAGCCUUCCCAGAGCUCCCCUCAGUGAUGUAAAGCCACCCACCCUCAACUAGUGGCAGGGCUCUCCAGCUGCCCUCUGCCUGGUUGACGGACCCAGCCUAGGAGGGGAGGAAGGCAGAACAGGGAGAGAUGGGCCCUGGGGGAGGGAAGAGUGGGAGCAAGGAGCUGUACCCAGAGGCCAGGCCCACCCGCCCACUUGUGCAGGGGCCCAAGCUUGCUCAGCUGGGCCUUCAGGGGAUUCAAGAGGCAGCACAGGACAGAGAAGUUUCCAUGACAGGCAGCAGGGGCCAGGGGCCUGGGAGUCAGGAGGCCUGGUUCCAGGGCCUGCUCUGCCUAUACAGCCUGAAGAUGCGCUGCUCGGAGAAGACGGAGAAGGCCAGAAGCGUGUACAGGAGAGGAGCCCAUCCCACUGGUGCUGCUGGGGGGCCGUGCUAUACAUCCACUUGAGGACCGCGUCCCUGAUGAAGACGGACAGGGCUCGCAGGAUGAAGGACGCAAACAGGUUCAGGUGGAUGUAGUUCCGGGUGCAGUGCAGGUGUCUGUGGGACAAAGCAGAGCUCCUUCCUGGCAAGAUGGCCGGUGGGUCUGCUCCACAAGCCUCAGUUCUCAAGCUAACGAACCCCCUCAGGCAUGUGUCUGUCUCUGGGACUGUCUUUUCUUCCUCUGAAAAUGCCCUUCUUCCUCAUAACCCUGAAAAUUCUCAGCCCAAUGUUAAGUCCUGCCUCUCCACGAAGCCUUCAGGUGUGUGCUCACUGCCACCCUCCGUCCACACUGUCCUUCCUUCUACGGCGUCUUCUUUUCUACAGAGUGGUGUGUAAGCCAAGAGGACCCCUUGGCCCAAGAGAGACUUCCUGAGGAAAGGACCCACCUCUCACAUGCUCAAGGUUGCCUCACAGAGGGCUAGGGCGAAGCACAUGGUCGGAAUUCAGGAAGUAUUAGACACAAUUUCAAUAUCCUUUCAGGUAAAAAACGCAUAGCUAACUGCAAAUACAAGGGCGUUUCUUAACUUGAUAAGGGCUAUCGAACCACACUGGGAGCAAACAUCAUUCUUAACUGAGGAAUUUUAUAAGCAUUUCCUUCAAAUUCAAAUAAAUAAGAAUUGCCUAGCCUAACAAAGCUAUCAUCACGUCUAUUGAACAUCAUAGUCCAGAUCCUGGCCGCUGAAGAGUGCAAGGGGAAAAAAAUCAUAAGAAUUGGAAAUGAAAGAACAAAAUUGUCAUUAUUUGUAGAGGGGAGAGUAUCUUCGUUGAGAAUUCAAGAUAAUCUACUCACAAAUUAUUAGAACCAAUUAGGAGAGUCCAUCUAGCAAGGUUGCUGAUGUGCGUUUAUGUAGAGCAGCAAUAAACACUUAAAAAAACACAUUUCAAAAAUUCACUUACAAUUUUUUAAUUGGCUACAUAGAAAAAAGUCCAACAGAAGAUGGGCAAGUUCUCUAUGGAGGAUAUAAUAAAACUUGCUUAAAAUUGUUAGAGAAGACUUAAAAUCCCACGU